Molecule: ribosomal RNA, 644 nt
Filed under: uncultured bacterium
Lineage: Bacteria
Description: bacterial SSU rRNA
Rfam family: Bacterial small subunit ribosomal RNA
Source: RNAcentral
GAUUACUUCGGUAAGAGCGGCGGACGGGUGAGUAACGCGUGGGUAACCUACCCUGUACACACGGAUAACAUACCGAAAGGUAUGCUAAUACGGGAUAAUAUAUUUGAGAGGCGUCUCUUGAAUAUCAAAGGUGAGCCAGUACAGGAUGGACCCGCGUCUGAUUAGCUAGUUGGUAAGGUAACGGCUUACCAAGGCGACGAUCAGUAGCCGACCUGAGAGGGUGAUCGGCCACAUUGGAACUGAGACACGGUCCAAACUCCUACGGGAGGCAGCAGUGGGGAAUAUUGCACAAUGGGCGAAAGCCUGAUGCAGCAACGCCGCGUGAGUGAUGAAGGCCUUCGGGUCGUAAAACUCUGUCCUCAAGGAAGAUAAUGACGGUACUUGAGGAGGAAGCCCCGGCUAACUACGUGCCAGCAGCCGCGGUAAUACGUAGGGGGCUAGCGUUAUCCGGAUUUACUGGGCGUAAAGGGUGCGUAGGCGGUCUUUCAAGUCAGGAGUGAAAGGCUACGGCUCAACCGUAGUAAGCUCUUGAAACUGGGAGACUUGAGUGCAGGAGAGGAGAGUGGAAUUCCUAGUGUAGCGGUGAAAUGCGUAGAUAUUAGGAGGAACACCAGUUGCGAAGGCGGUUCUCUGGACUGUAACUG